CAGCCGCCGCGGUAAUACGAAGGGUGCAAGCGUUACUCGGAAUUACUGGGCGUAAAGCGUGCGUAGGUGGUGGUUUAAGUCCGUUGUGAAAGCCCUGGGCUCAACCUGGGAAUUGCAGUGGAUACUGGGUCACUAGAGUGUGGUAGAGGAUAGUGGAAUUUCCGGUGUAGCAGUGAAAUGCGUAGAGAUCGGAAGGAACAUCUGUGGCGAAGGCGACUAUCUGGGCCAACACUGACACUGAGGCACGAAAGCGUGGGGAGCAAACAGGAUUAGAUACCCGCGUAGUCCCUGUCUCUUAUAA
This 301-nucleotide ribosomal RNA is filed under the name uncultured bacterium. Its description in RNAcentral is "partial 16S ribosomal RNA". It matches the Rfam family "Bacterial small subunit ribosomal RNA", at positions 509 to 809 of the family's 1533-position model. The record is from RNAcentral.